Molecule: transfer RNA, 87 nt
Filed under: Novibacillus thermophilus
Lineage: Bacteria; Bacillati; Bacillota; Bacilli; Caryophanales; Thermoactinomycetaceae
Rfam family: tRNA
About the family: Transfer RNA (tRNA) molecules are approximately 80 nucleotides in length. Their secondary structure includes four short double-helical elements and three loops (D, anti-codon, and T loops).
Source: Rfam by way of RNAcentral
GGAGAGGUGGCCGAGUGGUUGAAGGCAACGGUCUUGAAAACCGUCGAGGGUUUACGCUCUCCGUGGGUUCGAAUCCCACCCUCUCCG